This is a long non-coding RNA of Lytechinus pictus (painted urchin), 4764 nucleotides long. RefSeq lists it as uncharacterized. The transcript is spliced from 4 exons. Lineage: Eukaryota; Metazoa; Echinodermata; Echinoidea; Temnopleuroida; Toxopneustidae. The record is from RefSeq and is a predicted model, not a curated record.
UCUAGAAAGUCCCUUUUUUUAGUCGAAAUAUAUUAAAGAUAAAUUCCAGUUUUGGUAACGAUCUCAAAAUGACUUUUUACAGAAUCUAAUACAAUGACCACCCAAGUGUCUAUUUGUAUGAAUAAAAAAUAUGUGCCAAAGGAUUCUGGAAGAAAUUGUGUAAUUGCUGAGAAAUAAGCAAAAUAAGCGCAGAUUCGGUCACUUCCUUCGGGUCUCUAUUCCAGAAAUAAUAAUACACUGUCCCACGUGUGCCUAUCUGUGUUGGUGGCCUUCACUGUGAUCGUAUUUCAGAUUACAUUUUAUGAUUUCACAAAGUUCAGCCAAUGUAACUACCAGAUCUAGAUCCACGAUGAUAUAGUCAUACUUAACCUUGGUUUUACAGACUUUCUCACAAAAUUAGUGUUUUACUGCAAUUACAAUGUACUAUCAUUUACCUUUAAUCUUUCAAAAUCUUGUAUUGCAUCUGGGCUGUAAUAACAAUGAAAAUUGUAGGCCUAGCAUGCCUAACAUUAAUAUAUAGGUUCAAAGCAAUAAUAGCAUUUUGCCCUGUUACAUUUUGACACAUAGAUAUUUAAAGGGGUUGUCAAAGUCAGACAUUCCUUGGGGAAAAAAUAAUGAUUCGCUUUGAUUCUUUGUAGAACAUGUAGAAUGAAUUGUUCUUUCAUACAUGUACGGUAUGUUUAAUCUUAAGCAUUUUACAUGUAAGUCAUAACUUUAUCAUAGAGUUGCUUUACCUGUCAUUCAUGUGGCAAGUACAUGUAAAGUCAGUCAUUGCUAAAACAAGUCAUGUAAUAUUGGUUGCCACAAGUAUGGUGUGUGCUAUGCUUGAGUAUGCUUUAAUCCUCUAAUCUACAUGUGCUGUACAUGAACCUGCAUUGUACAACACUUUUAUGCUAUCUGAUCAACUUAUAAGGGAAGUCAAGGCUGAAAAUAACUUUAUUUUAAAAAAUGUACAACAAAUGAAGAAAAACAUUGGUGAAGGUUUGACGGAAAUCUGUCAAAUAAUACAGAAGUUAUGAAUAUUUAAUCAAUGUUUAGAUUUUGUGACGUCCCAUACGAGCAGCUCUUUCAGUUGUUUUGUAAUAAGAAAUCAAUAAAAUGUCAUUUUCUCAGACAAUUAUACAUAUUUUUGUACAAGAAUUUGAAAUAUCAUCAUAAAUAUAAUUUCAUGUCAGUUUUUUAGCAGAAACAAUAUUUUUCUCUCAAUGGGCCAUGAAAAAAUGAGUACAUGAUCUAUGGGGCUGUGUCUAUGGGGCUGCUGCUCGCAUGUGUGUGACGUCACAACGCCAAAAUUUUAAAUAUCCAUAAUUUUUUGGUCAUUUUACGGAUUUUCCUCAAACCUUGACCAAUAGAUUUCUUUAUUUUUUUGUCUACAUUUGCUUUUUCAAGUUAUUUUCAGCCUGGAAUUCCCCUUAAAUUGCCUUGACUAGUGACUACAGUAACCUAAAUUAACUACACAAAUUUGGACUUGAAGUUUCUACAAAGUAUAUACAUGUAGGUAUCUACUGAUAUCAGUAGUAUUUAAUAUACUACCACUACUUUCUACCAAAACCUCUUCUUAUUUACUCUUCGCUACUAUGACAACAAAUUUUGUUACUACAUACAUUUCUACAAAAGGAUGAAGAAUAGACAACAUUCAAGGCUCUUUAAUAAAUUGACGCAAGUGGGAACAGCAUGAAGUCACAAGACAUCACUGCAGUAUAUAUUCUCCCAACCAGCUGUUGUUACAUCCAGCCCACAAGGAAUUUUCUGAAGUCAUCAUGUCUACUUGAUUCCCUUAGCAUCAAAUGUGAAACAGUACUUGCAUCUUGAAGAGGGAAUCGUUGAUGCCAAGACUUCGGAUUUGAUUGGCAGGUUUGCAGUUCAACGUUUCACAAGGCAACCACAAUUUGCUCAAAAUCAACCAGGGAAAACACAAGGCAACAUGUUUUGGAUAAGUGAACACAUUAAAGGAAAAUAACACUUACAAGUUGAUCAGUAUCUCAUUGAAGUGCUUGAUACCCUUCCACACAAUAGUUGAAACAAAAGGCCCAUAAUGAAUUCAAGACAGAGUUGUCAAAAUGUAUUCAAUGAAAUGUAUACUUGUAUUUUUAGCUUUGUAAUUCACAUGCAAUUCAGUUUGUUAACUGCAAUAUGUCGAACAUUUUAAUAAAUACCAUUUAUCUAUCUAUCUAUCUAUCUACAUAAAGGGGUACUCUGGGCAAAAAUAAUAUGAUUUAAAUUGAUAGAGAAAAUCAAGUAAGCAAAAAACUAAAACCUUCAUAAAAAUUGUAUGAAGAUUAGUGAGGUUAUUGGAUAUUUAAUUUUGCAUGAUUUUUGAGAAACAUUUAUAUAUGUGUCCUCAUGAGAAUGCCAUGGGCAACCUGAUGAUGUCAUAAUUUAACGUGUUCUCUUGUAUCUUUGAUAUAUUUUACUGAUUUAAAUUUUCUCUGCCAAGGUAUUGAAAUGGAGUCAAUUGCUGGUUUAAUUGGCAAAAUAAUCAUUACUGAAACUUGUAUUUUGAAGGUACGAUGCCAGAAAAAUGUUUUUAUGUAAGAGAUGUGACACCAUCAGCCCACACAUUGCAUAUUCAUGACAACAUGCAUAUAAUCAUUUUACCAAAUUAAUACCAAAGUUAAACAAUGUAAUAACUACUUUAUUCAAUUUGGGGGAAAUCUUUAGUGUUUUACUUGUCCAAAUCUUUGUUUCUUCAUAUUUUUAUUUCAAGUCUAAUGAGCACCCUUAUUUGGUGGAUAUAUUUUGCGCAUUUGAAGUGUCUUUAUUAUCAUUAUGAUGAUUCGUAUUUGUAUUAUCAUUAUUAUUGUUAUUAUUCGUAGUAAUAUAAUUAGUAAUAUUAUCAUAAUAAUUAUAAUGGUUACUAUCAAUUAUUGAAGCUUUUAUGACAACUUUUGUUACCAAUUAUGCGAUAAGAAUCACGGUUUCAUUUUGUUUGAACUUUACAGUUUGUGCAAUUUUCAACUUUUUUGUUGAACUUAAACAUGAAAGUGUUCACUUAUGCCAAAAAGGCAGCCCAGCUAAAGCCGGGGUAAUAAUAGCAGGGCCCGCUGGGAGAACAGUUUUCGGAACUGAAGCGGCUACCCUGGGUAAAUAUACCGCUAUUAUUAUUAUUAUUAUUAUUAUUAUUAUAGUAUUUUUCAUGUCCUUCAUAACUGUGAAAUACAAUCAAGUUUUGCAUUAAUAUGAUAUAAUUCAUUGGGAUUCAUUACAAUAUUUGUAUGAGAAAGUUGAAGUGGAAGAGCAUUUCCAAAUCUUUCUUUCUGAAUGUAGAUUCAGGAUAAAAUUACCAGAUUCAUGUAAUCUCAGUAAACCAAUCAAGGACCAACAGAUCUCUUCAGCAGAGUAAUCAAAAUUUCCCAAAAUAACUUUUGCUUUAAUUUAAAAAAGAUAUGGAAAAAUGUUUCAAAAGAAAGAACAUUUAACCAAGUAACUUUAUCUCGCAUUCAUAAAAAUACCUUAAACAGAUAGACAUACUUAAGCUUUUCGAGAUGCACAGAAUUCUAUGUUUGCAAUUUAAUAUUACAAUUAUUUGUAGAAUAAUUAAAAUGGGCCUGUUUUCCUCAAUGGGUUAUGUGAAUAGGAAUUACCCUUAGUAAUUUUGAUAGGCAGACCGAACAAACUACAACUACACAGUAGUUCUUGGUUUCAAAAUAAGACAGAAUUAACAACUUUAUUUGUUAAAUUCUUUGCUCUAUUCAUUUAAUGUAGUUAAAAUAAAUACACAUCAAUCGAAUUAUGAUGUAGUAAUUUAAAUCAAAUUAGCUUAAAUUUGUUCAACAAAUAUUCAGCAAGUUUUACAUUUCGACUGAAGAGAAUUGCCUGGUAUCAUAAAUAUAACUGAAGUUCAUUGAGUCGAAUGUCUACUAGUGGCUGCAUUCCAAACUAGUCAGAAUUAUUUGAAUUAAAAAGAAUGUCUACCUCUCUGUCUCAGCAGAUUUUUUGUUUCAUUUCAUAGGGUUUAUUGGGAACUUGCAAACUUCUAUCCCGACUUUAUUAAAAUCAUUGAUGCACAUUAUUAAAAUUGAAAAGAAAAAUUACUGUCUUGCAGCAAAUGGUUAUUCUGUUUUACCAACUUAGGUGUUCGCUUUCCAAGAUGUAAUACGUCUUAACAGUAAUUGCCCAUGUUUAACCAUAAACAACCAGUGGUGGGGGGGGGGGUUAAUGAUAAUUUGAAAACCAAAGAAGAUUUCACAUGGGUCAUUAAAGGGGUUUUCCAGGCUGAAUAGAAAAUGACUUGAAAAGAUAAUAGAGUUUUUUUGGUCAGAAUAAUGUAAAUAAAGAUAAGGAUUAUGGUUUAUUUAGUUUUGGAGGUUACGACUUAUGUUUGGCUUAACAUGUGGUUUUUCCAUCGUAGCAAUUGUCGCCGGAGCCUGCAACCAAUUUUUUUUUUAUUUACAUCCAAAUUAAUAAUUUAAUUAAUAAAUUUGCAAUUGGAUCCAAACUUAAAUUUGUAAAGUAAAAUAUAAUGCCUCAUAAACCUGUUUGCCAAAUUUCGGAUUGAUGGCUGAAAUGUUGGGGUUGAUAUGUGGGGGGGGGGGUCAGAACAUACCAAUUGUAUGUUACUUUGCUUUUAGGUACUAAAUCAUCCUUCCAAAAAACAUGGAACAUCAAAUUAGGCCGAUAUAUUUUGAUUUGUAGUCACUGUUGCGGAAUAUAUCUAGUUAUAUUUAAAUUUUAUAUUACACUUGUUUAGAAAUGCGAUACAGGUCUACUUGCCACUUCACUGUUUGCAGUUACUGGUCAAAUAAAGUUGCCAUACCCAGACAA